GAUGAACGCUGGCGGCGUGCCUAAUACAUGCAAGUCGAGCGAACGGACGAGAAGCUUGCUUCUCUGAUGUUAGCGGCGGACGGGUGAGUAACACGUGGAUAACCUACCUAUAAGACUGGGAUAACUUCGGGAAACCGUAGCUAAUACCGGAUAAUAUUUUGAACCGCAUGGUUCAAAAUUGAAAGACGGUCUUGCUGUCACUUAUAGAUGGAUCCGCGCUGCAUUAGCUAGUUGGUAAGGUAACGGCUUACCAAGGCAACGAUGCAUAGCCGACCUGAGAGGGUGAUCGGCCACACUGGAACUGAGACACGGUCCAGACUCCUACGGGAGGCAGCAGUAGGGAAUCUUCCGCAAUGGGCGAAAGCCUGACGGAGCAACGCCGCGUGAGUGAUGAAGGUCUUCGGAUCGUAAAACCCUGUUAUUAGGGAAGAACAUAUGCGUAAGUAACUGUGCACAUCUUGACGGUACCUAAUCAGAAAGCCACGGCUAACUACGUG
This 497-nucleotide ribosomal RNA is filed under the name uncultured bacterium. Its description in RNAcentral is "partial 16S ribosomal RNA". It matches the Rfam family "Bacterial small subunit ribosomal RNA", at positions 28 to 507 of the family's 1533-position model. The record is from RNAcentral.